Molecule: ribosomal RNA, 474 nt
Filed under: uncultured bacterium
Lineage: Bacteria
Description: partial 16S ribosomal RNA
Rfam family: Bacterial small subunit ribosomal RNA
Source: RNAcentral
GAUGAACGCUAGCGGCAGGCCUAACACAUGCAAGUCGAGGGAGGAGCUUUCGGGCUUCGACCGGCGUACGGGUGCGUAACGCGUAUACAAUCUGCCUUUCACAUAGGGAUAGCCCGAAGAAAUUUGGAUUAAUACCUAAUGGUAUAUAGGAGUGGCAUCACAUUUAUAUUAAAGCUGAGGCGGUGAAAGAUGAGUAUGCGUUCUAUUAGCUAGUUGGAGAGGUAACGGCUCCCCAAGGCGACGAUAGAUAGGGGUUCUGAGAGGGAUAUCCCCCACACUGGUACUGAGAUACGGACCAGGCUCCUACGGGAGGCAGCAGUGAGGAAUAUUGGACAAUGGUCGGAAGACUGAUCCAGCCAUGCCGCGUGCAGGAAGACGGCCUUAUGGGUUGUAAACUGCUUUUGCAGGGGAAGAAUAAGGACUACGAGUAGUUUGAUGACGGUACUCUGCGAAUAAGCAUCGGCUAACUCCGUG